RNAcentral lists this transfer RNA (71 nucleotides) under Callionymus reticulatus (reticulated dragonet). RNAcentral describes it as "tRNA-Ser". It matches the Rfam family "tRNA". Rfam says of the family: Transfer RNA (tRNA) molecules are approximately 80 nucleotides in length. Their secondary structure includes four short double-helical elements and three loops (D, anti-codon, and T loops). The record is from RNAcentral. Lineage: Eukaryota; Metazoa; Chordata; Actinopteri; Syngnathiformes; Callionymidae.
AAGGAAGUGGCAGAUUGGCUAUGUAAUUGGCUUGAAACCAGUAAAAGGGGGUUCAAUUCCUUCCUUCCUCG